This 497-nucleotide ribosomal RNA is filed under the name uncultured bacterium. Its description in RNAcentral is "partial 16S ribosomal RNA". It matches the Rfam family "Bacterial small subunit ribosomal RNA", at positions 28 to 507 of the family's 1533-position model. The record is from RNAcentral.
GAUUAACGCUGGCGGCGUGCCUAAUACAUGCAAGUCGAGCGAACAGAUGAGGAGCUUGCUCCUCUGACGUUAGCGGCGGACGGGUGAGUAACACGUGGAUAACCUACCUAUAAGACUGGGAUAACUUCGGGAAACCGGAGCUAAUACCGGAUAAUAUAUUGAACCGCAUGGUUCAAUAGUGAAAGACGGUUUUGCUGUCACUUAUAGAUGGAUCCGCGCCGCAUUAGCUAGUUGGUAAGGUAACGGCUUACCAAGGCAACGAUGCGUAGCCGACCUGAGAGGGUGAUCGGCCACACUGGAACUGAGACACGGUCCAGACUCCUACGGGAGGCAGCAGUAGGGAAUCUUCCGCAAUGGGCGAAAGCCUGACGGAGCAACGCCGCGUGAGUGAUGAAGGUCUUCGGAUCGUAAAACUCUGUUAUUAGGGAAGAACAAAUGUGUAAGUAACUAUGCACGUCUUGACGGUACCUAAUCAGAAAGCCACGGCUAACUACGUG